RNAcentral lists this small nuclear RNA (331 nucleotides) under Erinaceus europaeus (western European hedgehog). RNAcentral describes it as "7SK RNA". It matches the Rfam family "7SK RNA". From Rfam's summary of the family: 7SK was discovered as an abundant small nuclear RNA in the mid-70s but a possible function has only recently been suggested. Two independent studies have found that 7SK RNA binds the CDK9/cyclin T complex (known as elongation factor P-TEFb). The record is from Rfam by way of RNAcentral. Lineage: Eukaryota; Metazoa; Chordata; Mammalia; Eulipotyphla; Erinaceidae.
GGAUGUGAGGGUGAUCUGGCUGUGACAUCUGUCACCCCAUUGAUAGCCAGGGUUGAUUUGGCUGAUCUGGCUGGCUAGGAGAGUAUCCCCUUCCUCCCUCACCACCCCAUAUGUGUCCUGCCGGAAGCUGCACGUUUGGUUUAGGUCUAAGAGGAUGACCUUCCCCGAAUAGAGACAGAUCCAGACUGGUCUUCUGUGGAGGGUAUAGGAGUAGCUGUGCUCCCCUGCUGGAACCUUCAAACAUGCUCUCAAGAAACAGCAGGACCGAUUGACUAUGGCUUUUUUUUUGCUUGUUUCUAAUAUGUGUACUAAUGUGUUUUAUACAUUUAAU